AGCGAACGCUGGCGGCAGGCCUAACACAUGCAAGUCGAGCGGCCGUAGCAAUACGGCAGCGGCAGACGGGAGAGUAACACGUGGGAACGCGCCCUUCGGUUCGGGAUAACCCAGGGAAACUUGGGCUAAUACCGGAUACGCCCUUACGGGGAAAGAUUUAUUGCCGAAGGAACGGCCCGCGUCCGAUUAGCUAGUUGGUGAGGUAAUGGCUCACCAAGGCGACGAUCGGUAGCUGGUCUGAGAGGAUGACCAGCCUCACGGGGACUGAGACACGUCCCAGACUCCUACGGGGGGCAGCGGUGGGGAAUAUUGGACAAUGGGCGCAAGCCUGAUCCAGCCAUGCCGCGUGGGUGAUGAAGGCCCUAGGGUUGUAAAGCCCUUUCAGCGGGGAAGAUAAUGACGGUACCCGCAGAAGAAGCCCCGGCUAACUUCGUGCCAGCCGCCGCCGUAA
RNAcentral lists this ribosomal RNA (451 nucleotides) under uncultured bacterium. Its description in RNAcentral is "partial 16S ribosomal RNA". It matches the Rfam family "Bacterial small subunit ribosomal RNA", at positions 29 to 523 of the family's 1533-position model. The record is from RNAcentral.